CUAACAAUGGGCAUGCUCUAAUAAGGUGAACUAACAUUGAACUUCUUGCUCCUUGUCUGCUUAGGGUCAUUGGCUUCCUGGAAGCUAUUGUUUGCAUAAAAUUUGGACAAGAUCUCUUCUCUAAGACCCAAAUACUCUACGUUGUACUUUGGCUUCUUUGUGUGGCCUUCACCACAUUCCUGUGUCUGUAUGGCAUGGUUUGGUAUGCAGAGCACUGUGGUCACCGGGAAAAGACCUAUUCAGAGUGUGAAGAUGGCAUUUACAGCCCAGAGAUCUCCUGGCAUCAUGGGAAAGGCUCAAAAGGUUCUGAAGACAGCCCACCCAAGCAUUCAAGCAACAAUGAAAGCCAUUCUUCCAGAAGAAGGAACCGGCAUUCCAAGUCCAAAGUCACCAACGGAGUUGGAAAGAAAUGAAGGAGCCUGGUUAAUCUCAGAUGUUCCAGAGAGUGCCUAGACCUGAGAGGGAAACAGAACACUUUUGGACCUUCCUGUAUGGAGAUCAAAAUGUACAGAAGGAACAAAGGGAGCCUUGGGGAUCAUGAUUUGAGAGUGUAAGUUUUGUCUCCCAUAGACCUGGACACACAUUAGACUGACCAUGGCUUGGGUCUUUUGCCAACUGGAGGUGUCUCCUAACUUCAGCACAUGGCCUUUGGUUUCUGGUAGCAAUACAGUAUGCUGGAAGAACAGGAUACCUGGCUUGCCAGUAAUGGCUCUGUGCUGAUGUGUCUUGUAGACGUUGUAUAAAUGUCUUCAUUCAGAUGUUAACUUUAACCAACUGGUUGAUGAACUGGUCUGGGUUUUAUUUCUAUGAGUCUGCCUUUCCAUUUGAUGGGUUGUUUAAGUUCACUCAGUCUACUUUUACUUUGUGAUUUCAAGUUAGAAUGCUUAAAAGCUUCCAGAAUCCAUUGCUGAAAUUGGGGGAGGGUUCCUUCUAGAGAAACAAAGGGUUGGGGGAGCUUUUGUGUCCCUGCUUAGCAUACUCAGUCCCCAGCCACUUGACAGAUGACCAGCAGCCUAAGUUUGAAGAAGGCUGGCUGCUUGCAUUGGAGCCUGGGCUUCAGUUUGAAACCUAUUAGUUCUACACUAAUGCUAUUGUUUGUCUUGAUGGAGUGCACAAAAGUGACCCUGCUGGAGGAACUGGGACACUGCGGCUCCUCUCCUGCCAGGUGCCUUUUCCAUGUGCGUGGUAUUCCUUCUAUGGUGUGUUGCCUACUUUGUUUUUCUGUCUCCUGUGAGGUGCUAGUGAGUAUUAAUUAACGUUCAUCUGUGCCAUGCUCUCCUAGAACAUUUUCCCAGUCUACCCUGGAACUUUGUUUUAAAUAAAUCAAUUAAAAACUCAU
RNAcentral lists this long non-coding RNA (1339 nucleotides) under Meriones unguiculatus (Mongolian gerbil). RNAcentral describes it as "lncRNA (ENSMUGG00000023662.1)". Lineage: Eukaryota; Metazoa; Chordata; Mammalia; Rodentia; Muridae. The record is from RNAcentral.